RNA transcript from Mangifera indica (mango), 6905 nucleotides. It is a transcript of the gene named putative disease resistance RPP13-like protein 1, with no coding region annotated. NCBI's taxonomy places the organism in Eukaryota, Viridiplantae, Streptophyta, Magnoliopsida, Sapindales, Anacardiaceae. The record is from RefSeq and is a predicted model, not a curated record. The transcript is spliced from 2 exons.
AAACAGCGUUUAAGGCCCUCCUUCCAGCUCUCAUGCCAACAUAAUAAAAAAUGAGAAAAUGAAUUGAAUUUUCGUGAAAGAUCAAAUGAAGGCAUAAAACAUUCAAUGGGACUCAGCCAUUUAGAGAAAGAUACACCAGAAGUCUUAUACGUUCCCCAACUGAAAUUGAAUUUUCUUUACGGAAGCAACCAUGUCUUUUAUUGUAGAGGCGUUUCUAGUUGAGUCCUUUAUGAUGUUGCUCCGAAAGUUGGCCUCUACUGAACUGUUACAGUUUGCAAAACAGGAGCAAAUCCAGGAAGAUCUCAAGAAGUGGGAGAUGAAAUUGAGGAAGAUGAAGGCGGUGCUUGAAGAUGCAGAGGAGAGGCAAGGGAAGAAUCCGGCAGUGAAGAUCUGGCUUGGAGAACUUCGAAACUUGGCUUACGACGUGGAAGACAUACUGGAUGAGUUUGCGACUGAAGCUUUGCGGAGGAAGUUGUUGCAUGAAUCGCAUCAUCAACAUCAACCCAGCACAAGUAAGUUACGGAAGCUAAUUCCUUCUUGCUUUAAUCCUCAGACUGUCAAGUUCAAUUCGAUGAUAAUGUCCCAAGUUAAGAAUAUCAGUACCAGAUUGGAUGACAUUGCUUCACAGAAAGAGCAAUUGGGUUUGAAAGAAUUUUCAGGAGGGAGGUCCAACAGUGUAAGACAAAGGCUGCCCACAACCUCUUUGGUGACUGAAACCAAUGUUUUUGGUAGAGAAAAAGAUCAGGAGGCAAUGGUUGAAUUGUUAUUGAGGAAUGAUUUAAGUGCUGACAAUAGAACAUUUUCUGUUAUUCCUAUAGUCGGGAUGGGUGGCUUGGGAAAGACAACGCUUGCUAAACUUGCCUACAAUGAUGUCAGAUUGGAAGGUCAUUUUGAUUUCAAAGCUUGGGUCUGUGUUUCUGAAAAAUUUAAUGUGACGGAGAUAACAAAAACAAUUCUAGAGUCCAUUCUUGGACAUAUUCCUGAUGUUAAUGAUCUUAACAAUCUUCAAGUGAGUUUGAAGGAGAAAUUGUUGAGAAAGAAAUUUUUGUUUGUUUUGGAUGAUAUAUGGACCGAGAAUGCUAGUGAUUGGUCUCUCUUACGCCUUCCCUUUGAAGUUGGCUCACCAGAAAGCAAGAUUAUCAUCACAACUCGUAAUGAAGUUAUUUCAACCAUGAUGGGUACUCUUCCAGCUUACUCAUUGAAAGAGUUAUCAGAUGAAGCUUGUUUGCGUAUAUUUACUCGUUACGCAUUGGGGACAACAGAUUUUAGUCUCCAUCAGCACUUGAAGGAAAUUGGUGAGAAGAUGGUAAAAAAAUGCAAUGGCUUACCUUUGGCAGCAGAAACUCUAGGCGGGCUAUUACGUGGGAAACCUAAUAGUGAGGAAUGGGAAAAGGUGCUAAACGGUAGAGUGUGGGAUUUACAAGAAGAGGAAAGCAACAUUAUACCAGCUUUGAAGGUAAGUUAUUACUUCCUUCCUUCACGUUUAAAAAGAUGCUUUGCAUACUGUUCUAUAUUCCCAAAGGAUUAUGAAUUUCUUAAAGAAGAGACCAUUUUGUUAUGGAUGGCUGAGGGUUUAUUACAGAAUAAUGAGAAGCAAAUGGAAGAUUUGGGCAAUGAGUUCUUUGAUGAUCUGAAAUCAAGGUCAUUUUUCAAGCAAUCAAGUAGAUAUAUGUCAAGGUUUGUGAUGCACGAUCUCAUCAAUGAUCUUGCUCAAUGGGCUGCAGGAGAGAUACGCUUUAGUAUUGACAAUAAGUUGGGUGGUAACAUAAAUUUCAAUGAUUCCUGCCCAAAUCUUCGUUAUUUAUCUUAUAUUUCUGAUCAGGUUGAAGGGGUUAAAAGGUUUGAAGGCUUGUGUGAAGCCAAGCGUUUGCGAGCGUUUUUACCAUUAGAGUUGCCAUACAUGACGUCAAGUUACUUGGCUUACGACGUUCUUCGCAUGGUGCUGAAACUCCCUCGUUUGAGGGCCUUGUCUUUGAGAAAUUAUUGGAUUUCUCAGCUGCCAAACUCAAUUGGUGAAUUGAAACAUCUACGGUACCUCAACCUAUCGGGUACGCAAAUUGAAAUUCUGCCCAAGUCAAUCACUACUCUUUACAAUUUACAGACGCUUUUAGUAGAGAACUGUUAUCAUCUGAAGAAACUGUGUGAAGACAUGGGGAACUUAACAAAUCUGCAUCAUCUAAAUAAUUCUGGUACACCUGCACUAGAGGAAAUGCCUUUAAGGAUUGGUAAUCUGACUGGGCUUUUAACACUGCCGAAUUUUGUUGUGGGCAAAGGCAGUGGCUCCGGGUUAGAAGAGUUGAAGAAUUUGACCCAUAUUAGGGAGAGGCUUUGCAUUUUUGGGUUGGAGAAUGUGAAUGCUAGGAUUGCCAUGAAAGCUGAUCUGAAUGGCAAGAGGGACCUUAAUGUGAUGGUACUAGAGUGGACUAGUAGCAUUGGUGAUCCGAGAGAUGCAAGAGAAGAAGAAAAAGUUCUUGACAUGUUACGACCACAUCAAGAUUUGAAAGAGUUCGUUAUUAGAGGCUAUGGUGGUGUUUCCUUUCCAUUCUGGUUAGAAGAUCCAUCAUUCUCGAAUUUAGCGUUUUUAACGCUUAAAAACUGUAACAGGUGUCAAAUGUUGCCAUCAGUUGGGGAACUGCCCUCUCUAAAGCACCUUGUUAUUAGAGGAAUGGCUAGAAUACAAAAUGUGGGGAAGCGGUUUUAUGGCUACUCAGAGGUGCCAUUUCCAUUACUGGAAACUCUUUGUUUUGUGGAUAUGGAAGGAUGGGAAGUCUGGAUCUCUCAUGAAGAGGAAGAAGCUAAAGCUUUUCCUCACCUCAGAGAACUUUCUAUUAAAAGGUGCUCUAAGCUGGAAGGAUUAUUGCCUAAAUAUCUUCCUUCUUUGGAAAAGCUUGUCAUUACAAGCUGUAAGAAAUUGGUCGUAUCAGUUGAAAGUCUUCCAAGACUGUGCAAAUUAGAAAUUGAUGAAUGUGAACAGAUGGUGUGGGGAAGUACAAUCGAUCUCAGCUCACUGAAAUCAGUGGUUCUUUCUCGUAUCUCGACUCACAUCUGUCCAACAGAGCGAUUUACGCAUGGGUUAUCAAAAGUAGAAGAAAUGGAGAUUGUUGGUUCUGAAGAGCUGACAUCUUUGUGGCAAACUACAGCUGAAUGGCUUCAAGAUAAUAGCUCCCUUUGUCGAUUGGAAAUUUGGCAAUGUCCUCUACUUCUGUGCAUGGUGGCAGAGGAAGAAGAACAACAACAACAAGAGCAGCCUGGGAUGCCUUGCAGACUAGAGUAUCUGGGAUUGAGUAAUUGUACACAGUUUGAAAAACUACCAAAAUCAUUGUGUAGCCUUAGUUUUCUUGAAGAAAUACGCAUCAGUUGCUGCCCAAAACUUGUUUCUUUUCCAGAGACAAGCAUCCCCCCCCAGCUAAGAAUUAUCGAAAUUGUAGAAUGCAAUGCACUGAAAUCGUUACCUGAGGCUUGGAUGAACAACAGCAAUAGAUAUCUUGAAAGCUUGUCCAUUGAAAAGUGUGAAUCUUUGACAUAUAUCACCAAAUUUAGACUUCCGUUGAAUCUGAAGUGGCUAAAUAUCGGACAUUGCAAUAAUUUAUGGACGUUGAUCUAUGAGGACAGUGGAACCCAUAGCAACACCUCUGUUCUAGGGUCCUUGGCAGUCAACUUUUGUCGAUCUCUCACAUCCUUGUGGUUAAGAAGUGAGUUACCAGAUACACUUGAAGACAUUGAGCUUUGGGGUUGCUCAAGUCUUGCUUCCUUGUCAUCAGGAGGCAAUCUACCUAUGGCUCUGAAAUCCCUAACUGUUCACCAGUGUUCCAAGCUAGAGUCGAUUGCAGAAAGAUUGCAGAAUCUCACAUCUCUUGAACAUAUCAAAAUUUCUUCUUGUGAUAAUCUUAAAUGUUUUCCUCAGGAUCUUCACAAGCUACGCCAUCUUCAAAAGAUGACCAUAUCUGAUUGUCCAAAUCUUGUUUCCUUUCCAGAAGGAGGCUUGCCUCUCAGGAACCUGACAUCACUCCUCAUAGACAGCUGUGAGAAACUGAAGGCCCUGCCCAACCAGAUACACAAACUCACUGCACUUAAACAUUUAUCAAUAAAAAAUUGUCCGAGCAUGGCCGUGUUCCCUGUCCAUGGCCUUCCUAUCAGCCUUGCAUCACUUGAAAUUGAAGAUUUAAACAUCGUUAAACCACUGUUUGAUUGGGGGCUUUACAGACUCACUUCACUUAAAGAUCUCAGUAUUGACAAGGGAUGCCCAGAAGUGGUGUCAUUUCCGCAAGAAGAGACUGGAAUGAUGCUUCCUACCUCCCUAACCCGUUUGAAAAUUCGAAAUUUUCCGAACCUGGAAUGCCUGUCAUCUGAUAUUCGGAAUCUGACUUGCCUGGAAAAACUCUCCCUUUUUGCAUGUCCUAAGCUCAAAUUUCUUCCUAAGGAUUGCCUGCCUUCCUCUUUUCUGCGACUGGAAAUUUGUGAUUGUCCAUUGCUCAAACAAAUGUGGGAAAAGCAUGGUGGAAUAACUUGUUGGCCAAUGAUUGCACGCAUACCUUACGUCGAGAUUGAGGAUGAGUUCAAGGAGUACAGACCCCAGGGUCAAGAUUGAUCUCCCACAAUUUGGUCCCGAGAAGACAACAUCUUGGCCAUUUUCAAAUGUUGCCAUCGGUCGGGAAACUGCCUUUUCCAAAGCACCUUGUUAUCAAAGGAAUAGCUAGUAUACAAAGUGUGGGGAAGGAGCUUUAUGGCUACUCAGAGGUGCCAUUUCCAUUACUGGAAACUAUUUGUUUUUGGGGUAUGAAAGGAUGGGAAGUUUGGAUCCCUCAUGAAGAGGAAGAAGCUAAAGCUUUUCCUCACCUCAGAGAACUUUCUAUUAAAUUGUGCUCGAAGCUGGAAGGAUUAUUACCCAAAUAUCUUCCUUCUUUGGAAAAGCUUGUCAUUAGAAGCUGUGAGAAGUUGGUCGUAUCAAUUGAAAGUCUUCCAAGACUCUGCAAAUUAGACAUUGUUGGAUGUGAACAGAUGAUGUGGGGAAGUACAAUCGAUCUCAGCUCACUGAAAUCAGUGGUUCUUUGGGAUAUCUCAACUCACAUCUGUUCAACAGAGAUAUUCACAUACGGGUUAUUAAAAGUAGAAGAAAUGGUGAUUUAUGGUUCUAAAGAGCUGACAUCUUUGUGCCAAAGUACAGCUGAAUGGCUUCAAGAUAAUAGCUCCCUUUGUCGAUUGGAAAUUUGGCAAUGUCCCCAACUUCCGUGCGGGGUGGCAGAGGAAGAAGAAGAAGAAGGACAAGAACAGCUUGGGAUGCCUUGCAGACUUGAGUAUCUGGAAUUGAAUCAAUGCGAGCGCUUUGAAAAGCUACCAAAAUCAUUGUGCGGCCUUAGUUUUCUUGAAGAAAUAUGCAUCACAGACUGCCCAAAACUUGUUUCUUUUCCAGAGACAAGCAUGCCUCCCCAGCUAAGAAUCAUCGAAAUUGAAGAAUGCAAUGCACUGAAAUCGUUACCUGAGGCUUGGAUGAACAACAGCAAUACAUAUCUUGAAAGCUUGUCCAUUAAAAAGUGUGGAUCUUUGACAUAUAUCACAAAUUUGGGCUUCCAUUGAAUCUGAAGUGGCUAAAUAUCGGACAUUGCAAUAAUUUAUGGACUUUGAUCGAUGAGGACAGUGGGACCCAUAGCAACACCUCUCUUCUACAGUUCUUGGUAGUCAACUCUUGUCGAUCUCUCACAUCCUUGUGGUCAAGAAGUGAGUUACCUGAUACGCUUGAACACAUUAAGCUUUGGCGUUGCUAUAGUCUUGCUUCCUUGUCAUCAGGAGGCAAUCUACCUAUGGCUCUGAAAUCCCUAAUUGUUUACGAGUGUACCGAGCUAGAAUCGAUUGCAGAAUCUCACAUCUCUUUAACAUAUCAAAAUUUCUUUUGGUUAUAAUCUUAAUUGUUUUCCUCAGGAUCUUCACAAGCUACGCCAUCUUCAAAAGAUGACUAUACCUGAUUGUCCAAAGCUUGUUUCCUUUCCUGAAGAAGGCUUGCCUCUCGGGAACCUGACAUCGCUCUGCAUAGACAGCUGUAAGAAACUGAAGGCCCUACCUAACCGGAUACACAAACUCACUGCUCUUAAACAUUUAUCAAUAAAAAAUUGUCCGAGCAUGGCCAUGUUCCCUGUCCAUGGCUUUCCUAUCAGCCUUGCAUCACUUGAAAUUCAAGAUUUGAACAUCUUUAAACCACUGUUUGAUUGGGGGCUCUACAGACUCACUUCUCUUAGAAAUCUCAGUAUUGGCAAGGGAUGCCCAGAAGUGGUGUCAUUUCCACAAGAAGAGAGUGGGAUGAUGCUUCCUACCUCCCUAACCCAUUUGAAAAUUCAAAAUUUUCUGAAUCUGGAACGCCUGUCAUCUGAUAUUCAGAAUCUGACUUGCCUGGAAAAACUCUGCCUUUUUGCAUGUCCUAAGCUCAAAUUUCUUCCUGAGGAUUGCCUGCCUUUCUCUCUUCUGCAACUGCAAAUUUGUGAUUGUCCAUUGCUCAAACAAAUAUGGGAAAAGCAUGGAGGACAAAAUUAUUGGCCAAUGAUCGCACGCAUACCUUUGGUCAUAAUUGAUUGCCUUAUCAUGAAGUACAGACCCCAUGAUCAAGAUUGAUCUUCAACAAUUUGUUCCUGAGAAGACAGCAUCUUGGCCCUUUUCAAAUCCGUCAGUAGAAAAAGGUCCUUGCACGGAAUCAUUUUCUGUUGUUUGAUGUUUCUCCAUUGUGUAAUGAUUGGCAGAGAGGAGGUAUUUUUCAUGUGUUUUUUUUUUUGUUUUGUCACUGUUAGAAUUGACUACUAUUUUGUUUUUGAUACGUUUAUGGGAUCACAAUGUAGACACAUGUAACUAGUGCAGAGAAAACUCUCUAAGAUUGUGUCCCAAAGCUACUUUCAAUUCGAAACUUCUUAAUAUUUAUUUCA